RNAcentral lists this transfer RNA (64 nucleotides) under Raptrix fusca. Its description in RNAcentral is "tRNA-Cys". Lineage: Eukaryota; Metazoa; Arthropoda; Insecta; Mantodea; Acanthopidae. The record is from RNAcentral.
GGUCUUAUAUUCAUAAAAAUGAUAUUAGAAUGCAAUUCUAAUGGUGUAAAAAAUACUUAGACUU